This 253-nucleotide ribosomal RNA is filed under the name uncultured bacterium. RNAcentral's name for it is "partial 16S ribosomal RNA". It matches the Rfam family "Bacterial small subunit ribosomal RNA", at positions 524 to 776 of the family's 1533-position model. The record is from RNAcentral.
UACGUAGGGUGCGAGCGUUGUCCGGAAUUAUUGGGGGUAAAGGGCUCGUAGGCGGUUUGUCGCGUCGGGAGUGAAAUCCACUGGCUUAACUGGUGGCUUGCUUUCGAUACGGGCAGACUGGAGGUAUGCAGGGGAGAACGGAAUUCCUGGUGUAGCGGUGAAAUGCGCAGAUAUCAGGAGGAACACCGGUGGCGAAGGCGGUUCUCUGGGCCUUACCUGACGCUGAGGAGCGAAAGCGUGGUGAGCGAACAGG